CCUACGGGAGGCUGCAGUGGGGAAUAUUGCACAAUGGGCGCAAGCCUGAUGCAGCCAUGCCGCGUGUAUGAAGAAGGCCUUCGGGUUGUAAAGUACUUUCAGCGGGGAGGAAGGGAGUAAAGUUAAUACCUUUACUCAUUGACGUUACCCGCAGAAGAAGCACCGGCUAACUCCGUGCCAGCAGCCGCGGUAAUACGGAGGGUGCAAGCGUUAAUCGGAAUUACUGGGCGUAAAGCGCACGCAGGCGGUUUGUUAAGUCAGAUGUGAAAUCCCCGGGCUCAACCUGGGAACUGCAUCUGAUACUGGCAAGCUUGAGUCUCGUAGAGGGGGGUAGAAUUCCAGGUGUAGCGGUGAAAUGCGUAGAGAUCUGGAGGAAUACCGGUGGCGAAGGCGGCCCCCUGGACGAAGACUGACGCUCAGGUGCGAAAGCGUGGGGAGCAAACAGGAUUAGAUACCCUUGUAGUC
Molecule: ribosomal RNA, 465 nt
Filed under: Acinetobacter baumannii
Lineage: Bacteria; Pseudomonadati; Pseudomonadota; Gammaproteobacteria; Moraxellales; Moraxellaceae
Description: bacterial SSU rRNA
Rfam family: Bacterial small subunit ribosomal RNA
Source: RNAcentral